RNAcentral lists this ribosomal RNA (768 nucleotides) under uncultured bacterium. Its description in RNAcentral is "bacterial SSU rRNA". It matches the Rfam family "Bacterial small subunit ribosomal RNA", at positions 28 to 776 of the family's 1533-position model. The record is from RNAcentral.
GACGAACGCUGGCGGCGUGCCUAAUACAUGCAAGUCGAGCGAAGUUUUUCUGGUGCUUGCACUAGAAAAACUUAGCGGCGAACGGGUGAGUAACACGUAAAGAACCUGCCUCAUAGACUGGGACAACUAUUGGAAACGAUAGCUAAUACCGGAUAACAGCAUUAACUGCAUGGUUGAUGUUUGAAAGUUGGUUUUGCUAACACUAUGAGAUGGCUUUGCGGUGCAUUAGCUAGUUGGUGGGGUAAAGGCCCACCAAGGCGACGAUGCAUAGCCGACCUGAGAGGGUGAUCGGCCACACUGGGACUGAGACACGGCCCAGACUCCUACGGGAGGCAGCAGUAGGGAAUCUUCCGCAAUGGGCGAAAGCCUGACGGAGCAACGCCGCGUGAGUGAAGAAGGAUUUCGGUUCGUAAAGCUCUGUUGUUAGGGAAGAAUGGAUAUGUAGUAACUAUACAUGUAAGAGACGGUACCUAACCAGAAAGCCACGGCUAACUACGUGCCAGCAGCCGCGGUAAUACGUAGGUGGCAAGCGUUGUCCGGAAUUAUUGGGCAUAAAGCGCGCGCAGGUGGUUUAAUAAGUCUGAUGUGAAAGCCCACGGCUCAACCGUGGAGGGUCAUUGGAAACUGUUAAACUUGAGUGCAGGAGAGAAAAGUGGAAUUCCUAGUGUAGCGGUGAAAUGCGUAGAGAUUAGGAGGAACACCAGUGGCGAAGGCGGCUUUUUGGCCUGUAACUGACACUGAGGCGCGAAAGCGUGGGGAGCAAACAGG